AAUUGCAAGAAUAAUGAUUUGGUAUUUCGAAAAUUGUCAUUUUAGUCUAAACAAGUUUGGACUACUCUACCUUUCAAAAGGUUUCAUUUCGUUGCAAAUUGGUACAAUUUAUUUUGAAUUUUUUUUUUAAAUACUGAUUUUGCCCUUUGUAUUUUAUUAUUUUUUACUUUUUUUUAUUACAGAAAUAAAAAAAUAGAACCAUAAAAUACAUCUCUCUCUCUCUCUCUCUCUCUCUCUCUCUCUCUCUCUCUCUCUCUCUCUCUCUCUCUCUCUCUCUACAAUACACACCUUACUUCAAUUGGGUUGUAGAUUUACGGAUCCAAAUGGGAUACUUUUAGUUACAUCUGAUAAAUUACAAAGACUUGGAUAGAGUUACAGAACCACUUGAAGAAACACUUGUUAAUUUAGUAGAGAGGCACAAGCAAAGUGGUAUUCUAGGUGAAGAAACAUCGAAGACUGCUCUUUUCGUUUCUGUCUAGUCAGAUCUACAAGGUCACCGGAUACCACCCCCAGAUAUACCGUCAAACCAUUCGUCUUCUCUAGCAAACUCCUACAGCGAAAACCUAACCCUAAGUGUUUCAUGUGGCAACGCAUAGAUCGAAGCUAGGGUUUGUAGCAAUGACGAAAGCUUCAACAAUCUUCUUCUUCGACGACAACUUCGUUCUUCGGUUAGGGUUUUCCUCUUCUAGAUCUGGGGAACAUCAAGGGUGACAACGAGAAAAUAGAUGUUCAAACCUCGACGAUGGUUGAGGGUGGCAAUCCUUCUUCUUCGAUGUCAAUGUAAGAUCUGAGAAAAAGGGGGCGACGUCAAAGAUCUGAGAAAGGUGCAACGUAGAUAUGCUUCUUUUUCGUUCAAUCUUCUUUUCAUUGUUAGAUCUACUUCAAUUUUGUUCAUCGAGAGUUUAUGGUUUGGUUAGGGUGUGUGUUUUCAUCAAAUUUUCUAUGUGUAUGUGUUCAUCUAAUUUCGUGUUUGUGUGUGUGUGCUCAUCUGAUUUCAUGUAUGUGUGUGUGUGUGUGUUCAUCAGAUUUCAUGUGUGUAUCACUACUACAAAAUGGUUAAUAGAAAACUCUCCUUAAAAUAUGUUUUUAAGAAUUCGGUAUUUUAUUCUAGAAGGCGCUAUUUAUUUUCUAAAAAAAAAUACGUUCAUCUUUAAUGGAUCGUACUUUAUUAGGUUAUCAAAAAAGAUGCAUUACGGUUUUUCAUCUAAUUAAUUUAUUUUGCCGCCUAAAUAUAUUUGCCAAAUAUCUUUUAAUUUGUAUCUCGUCCUUACCCUAAUUCUACCACCGUUCGUUUCUUUCCUAUAAUCCUACGAUUGCCGCAUCAUCACCACAACUAGGAACUGUUGCCGCCACCACCAUAGCCACCAAUUGAUGUUGCUCCACAAUAGCCACCGGCGACUGUUGCCACCACCAUGACUGUCAUGCCUUCUCUGCACACACCAUUUGUUCGUUCAAGAGAUUACUUCUUAAUUAUCUUAAUCAUUAAUCAGCGAUUCUAAAUCUUUAAGAUUUUGGUGCCUCCUUUGUUGCUUAGGAUAAUUGGAUUUUAAAAUUGCUAUACAUUUUUUGCCUAAGUUUUUUAUUAUGGUAUUUACGAUCUUCAGUUUUCUUAGGGGUUUUUUUUUUCAUAAUGGUCUUUGACAUGACCAACCUCAUACAUAAGGAUGUUGCAACUUUGGUUUGGUAAAUAUUGAAUAAGUUCUUAGUUUUUGAAAAGUGUUAUACUUUUUCAAACAUGCCACAUGGGAAUGCUUUCUCUUGCAUUUAAAGACUUAAUGAAGCAACUAUGCAGUCAUUGUGGCACCAAGAGCAUUUAAAUCAAGGAUGAUAUUGGAAUAAAUAAAAGCUUAUAUGAAUUAGCUGGAAGUUAUCAGAGACAAGACUUCUUUAAAUCACCCAUGUUGGUGUUCAUGUGUAGAGUGACAUUGAGAACAUGUUUGUUUCAUGAACAUGUUUGGGCCCUAGGAUGUUUAUGUGGACACUUGUUCCAUUGAGAUUUGCUUAUACUUAAGGCAAGGUUUGCUUCUUGAACAUUUUUGCUUACCAAGUUGUUUUUAUUUAUCUAGUUAGUAUUGGGGACUUGUAUUUGACCUUAGGUCUGGUCUGAUUUGGUACUGGGAAAGUCAAAAUUAACUUAACUUGAUGUCCUCAUUUUCUAAUUUCUAUUUUUUUUUUGUAGAUUUGUUUUUCAUAAUUGCUACACACUACCAGAAUAUGUACGUUGUAAUAUUGUAAGCGAUUACAACGUGUUGAGCUCUGGAUUUGUCAAUAUGUAACAUCUUUCAUUUUAUUAUCUUCAAUUGGAAUCCAUAAUGCACAAAAUAUAUUUUUUGAUCGACAUCCCAUGAUAUUAACACUAUUUUAGAAAUUGCAGGUGUGAAUGCUUAUUAUGCUUUGGAUGACCAAAAACUUAAUGAUUACAAUGACUUGAUGAUGGAGUCUCCACAUUUCUCACUAUAAGAUAGGAACAAACUCAAGAACAAACCCAAAUUGUGUGUAUGGUUUUUGUUUUUGGGAUGAUUUUUUGGCGGAGAUGAAGUGACGUUAAAGUUUAAGUGGAGAUGGAGGUGAAAGACAGUGGUGGUGGACUGUCGAGUUGUCGAACAGUGUGACAUGUUUGAACACAAGUUUCAAAUUUAUAUUCUAAUUAUUCAACUCAACUAAACACAAUAGGCAGUGUACUUAGUCGUGUAGUAGUAAAGUAGUAUAAGUAAGGAGUCGAUCACAAAGAACGAUAUUCUAAUGAAAAUAAUGCUAAAAAUUAAACUAAAGAAAUAAACUUUAAA
Molecule: long non-coding RNA, 2786 nt
Organism: Lactuca sativa (garden lettuce)
Lineage: Eukaryota; Viridiplantae; Streptophyta; Magnoliopsida; Asterales; Asteraceae
Source: RefSeq, a predicted model, not a curated record